GACGAACGCCGGCGGUGUGCUUAACACAUGCAAGUCGAACGGUAAGGCCCUUUCGGGGGUACACGAGUGGGGAACGGGUGAGUAAGACGUGAGUAACCUGCCCGCAUCUCUGGGAUAACAGUCGGCAACGGUUGCGAAUACUGGAGAUGAGGUUGCAAGGCAUCCUGUGGGGUGGAAGGAUUUUUUUUGGGUGGGGGGGGGCUCGCGGGCUUUCAGCUUGUUGGUGGGGGGGUGGGGCAUCAAGGCUUCGACGGGGGGCCGGCCUGUGAGGGGGAGCGGCCACAUUGGGACUGAGAUACGGCCCAAACUCCUCCGGGAGGCAGAAGUGGGGAAUAUUGCACACUGGACGGAAGUCUGAGGCAGCAACGCCGCGUGCGGGAUGACGGCCUUCGGGUUGUAAACCGCUUUCAAUUGUGACGAAGCUUUUUUGUGACGGUAGCAGUAGAAGAAGCACCGGCUAACUACGUG
This 468-nucleotide ribosomal RNA is filed under the name uncultured bacterium. RNAcentral describes it as "partial 16S ribosomal RNA". It matches the Rfam family "Bacterial small subunit ribosomal RNA", at positions 28 to 507 of the family's 1533-position model. The record is from RNAcentral.